GACGAACGCUGGCGGCGUGCUUAACACAUGCAAGUCGAACGGAAAGGCCCUGCUCUUGUGGGGUGCUCGAGUGGCGAACGGGUGAGUAACACGUGAGUAACCUGCCCUUGACUUUGGGAUAACUUCAGGAAACUGGGGCUAAUACCGGAUAGGAGCUCCUGCCGCAUGGUGGGGGUUGGAAAGUUUCGGCGGUUGGGGAUGGACUCGCGGCUUAUCAGCUUGUUGGUGGGGUAGUGGCUUACCAAGGCGUUGACGGGUAGCCGGCCUGAGAGUGUGACCGGCCACAUUGGGACUGAGAUACGGCCCAGCCUCCUACGGGAGGCAGCAGUGGGGAAUAUUGCACAAUGGGCGGACGCCUGAUGCAGCAACGCAGCGUGCGGGAUGACGGCCUUCGGUUUGUAAACCGCUUUCGCCUGUGACGAAGCGUGAGUGACGGUAAUGGGUAAAGAAGCACCGGCUAACUACGUG
This 468-nucleotide ribosomal RNA is filed under the name uncultured bacterium. RNAcentral's name for it is "partial 16S ribosomal RNA". It matches the Rfam family "Bacterial small subunit ribosomal RNA", at positions 28 to 507 of the family's 1533-position model. The record is from RNAcentral.